Molecule: ribosomal RNA, 492 nt
Filed under: uncultured bacterium
Lineage: Bacteria
Description: partial 16S ribosomal RNA
Rfam family: Bacterial small subunit ribosomal RNA
Source: RNAcentral
AGUGAACGCUGGCGGUAGGCCUAACACAUGCAAGUCGAACGGCAGCACAGUAAGAGCUUGCUCUUACGGGUGGCGAGUGGCGGACGGGUGAGGAAUACGUCGGAAUCUACUUUUUCGUGGGGGAUAACGUAGGGAAACUUACGCUAAUACCGCAUACGACCUACGGGUGAAAGCAGGGGAUCUUCGGACCUUGCGCGAUUGAAUGAGCCGAUGUCGGAUUAGCUAGUUGGCGGGGUAAAGGCCCACCAAGGCGACGAUCCGUAGCUGGUCUGAGAGGAUGAUCAGCCACACUGGAACUGAGACACGGUCCAGACUCCUACGGGAGGCAGCAGUGGGGAAUAUUGGACAAUGGGCGCAAGCCUGAUCCAGCCAUACCGCGUGGGUGAAGAAGGCCUUCGGGUUGUAAAGCCCUUUUGUUGGGAAAGAGAAGCAGCAGGUUAAUACCCCGCUGUUCUGACGGUACCCAAAGAAUAAGCACCGGCUAACUUCGUG